RNAcentral lists this ribosomal RNA (239 nucleotides) under uncultured bacterium. Its description in RNAcentral is "partial 16S ribosomal RNA". It matches the Rfam family "Bacterial small subunit ribosomal RNA", at positions 15 to 230 of the family's 1533-position model. The record is from RNAcentral.
GAUCCUGGCUCAGGACGAACGCUGGCGGCGUGCUUAACACAUGCAAGUCGAACGAAGAGCGAUGGAAGCUUGCUUCUAUCAAUCUUAGUGGCGAACGGGUGAGUAACGCGUAAUCAACCUGCCCUUCAGAGGGGGACGAACAGUUGGAAACGACUGCUAAUACCGCAUACGAUCUAACCUCGGCAUCGAGGAUGGAUGAAAGGUGGCCUCUAUUUAUAAGCUAUCACUGAAGGAGGGGA